Pogoniulus pusillus (Red-fronted tinkerbird) is the source of this 952-nucleotide long non-coding RNA. RefSeq lists it as uncharacterized. The record is from RefSeq and is a predicted model, not a curated record. Lineage: Eukaryota; Metazoa; Chordata; Aves; Piciformes; Lybiidae. The transcript is spliced from 2 exons.
GACUGCAGAGCAUUGCUAGCAGUUAACACUCAGCAGUUAAAUCAUUUAGCCCUGAAUGGUGUGCUAUUUGAUGCCUUCCCCUAAAAGGUGGAGAGAUGAAGAAGCAGUAGAGUUUGAACAGGCCAGCAAAAAGAUAAAAAUCAACAGGGAUUAGGAAGGUGAAAAGAAAGAGAGAAAAAUAAAUCCCUGCCAAAUCUGCUUUCAUGUGUCCAACCUGUUUACGUUCUGUGCUAGAGUAACACCGAUCUGACUCACUGCUGGCAUUAAUGAAGUUUGCACCGUUGGGUGAGCAAUUUAAUUUAUCUCAGCAAGCCAAAGCUCAUUAUAACAGUCUGUAAAUGCUAUCAGAUGAAAGCAGCAUCCUUCAGCAAUCUCGGGGAUUAAAGCAAGGAGGCAUUCAACUGACUAGGCUUGUGCUGGAAGGACUGCGGUCGGAGCAUGUGUGUUGCAGGCUGAGGAGGAACAGCACCUCCGUUGCUGUGGGUUUCUCCGUAUCAAGAAAGUGAUCCGGAGCCUCUGCACCGCUCGUCCGGAGGAUUUCUCCAAAGACCAAAGUAGAGAAGGUGCCUGCCUGCAGAGGAGGACACGGUGGGAUGCUGUUCUGUGCACACCUGAGAACCAGACGUGGUCCUUGCUUGUGAUGUGCUUCCUCUGGGCUUGUGCAGGGGAGGAUGCUGGAGCAGCCCCAUCUAUGGCAGAGCUCUGUAUGGGAAUGAUACCCUGUACUGGGAGAAUAUCUUCAGUCUGCUGUCAUCGUGAGGAGUGAGCCAACAUUCAAUGAGCAUCAGUUAUCACUUGACAGUUGCCUCCAUUGUCUCUGAUCAAAACAGCAGCUCGGGGAACUGUGGCUGUGAGUGGCAGGAACGUCUGAGAGGUUGUGUCAGAUCUCUUCCAUCCACCACUCAACCUGUCAAAUGUAAAUGUAAUUUGCUGUGAUACAGGCACGAUGUCA